GUAGGUGAACCUGCGGAAGGAUCAUUAAUACGUUAUCAACGUACUAAUAACCCAAUUGUGAAUUUUGUAUCUUUCCUUUUUGGAUUGGAGGAUUUCUGCGAUGUGUUUCUUAAGCAUGGUGAAUUUCUUAAUCGGUUUUCAUUAGAAACUUUACAUCGGUCCUAGCAUACACUUCGGUGUUUUGUUAGCUCUUCCAAAAAGUGUAUUUUUUAUUUUCCAUGCUUUUUUCUAAAAUUUAAACCCCAAGUAC
RNAcentral lists this unclassified non-coding RNA (250 nucleotides) under plant metagenome. Its description in RNAcentral is "partial contains small subunit ribosomal RNA, internal transcribed spacer 1, and 5.8S ribosomal RNA". The record is from RNAcentral.